This 61-nucleotide transfer RNA is filed under the name Diaphorina citri (Asian citrus psyllid). It matches the Rfam family "tRNA". From Rfam's summary of the family: Transfer RNA (tRNA) molecules are approximately 80 nucleotides in length. Their secondary structure includes four short double-helical elements and three loops (D, anti-codon, and T loops). Further hydrogen bonds mediate the characteristic L-shaped molecular structure. tRNAs have two regions of fundamental functional importance: the anti-codon, which is responsible for specific mRNA codon recognition, and the 3' end, to which the tRNAs corresponding amino acid is attached (by aminoacyl-tRNA synthetases). tRNAs cope with the degeneracy of the genetic code in two manners: having more than one tRNA (with a specific anti-codon) for a particular amino acid; and 'wobble' base-pairing, i.e. permitting non-standard base-pairing at the 3rd anti-codon position. The record is from Rfam by way of RNAcentral. Lineage: Eukaryota; Metazoa; Arthropoda; Insecta; Hemiptera; Psyllidae.
GUUAUGGUAGUGCGUAUGCCUUGUAAGCGCUAGGCCGCGGGUUCGAUUCCCGCCCGGAACG